This 497-nucleotide ribosomal RNA is filed under the name uncultured bacterium. RNAcentral's name for it is "partial 16S ribosomal RNA". It matches the Rfam family "Bacterial small subunit ribosomal RNA", at positions 28 to 507 of the family's 1533-position model. The record is from RNAcentral.
GAUGAACGCUGGCGGCGUGCCUAAUACAUGCAAGUCGUGCGAACAGACGAGGAGCUUGCUCCUCUGACGUUAGCGGCGGACGGGUGAGUAACACGUGGAUAACCUACCUAUAAGACUGGGAUAACUUCGGGAAACCGGAGCUAAUACCGGAUAAUAUAUUGAACCGCAUGGUUCAAUAGUGAAAGACGGUUUUGCUGUCACUUAUAGAUGGAUCCGCGCCGCAUUAGCUAGUUGGUAAGGUAACGGCUUACCAAGGCAACGAUGCGUAGCCGACCUGAGAGGGUGAUCGGCCACACUGGAACUGAGACACGGUCCAGACUCCUACGGGAGGCAGCAGUAGGGAAUCUUCCGCAAUGGGCGAAAGCCUGACGGAGCAACGCCGCGUGAAUGAUGAAGGUCUUCGGAUCGUAAAACUCUGUUAUUAGGGAAGAACAAAUGUGUAAGUAACUAUGCACGUCUUGACGGUACCUAAUCAGAAAGCCACGGCUAACUACGUG